This 778-nucleotide non-coding RNA is filed under the name Ocyptamus sativus. Lineage: Eukaryota; Metazoa; Arthropoda; Insecta; Diptera; Syrphidae. The record is from RNAcentral.
AUUUUGGCUUUAAAAAAUUUAUUAUUAAUUUAUAUUAUAUGUAAAUUUUUGUGUGAUUUUAUAUUUAUUUGAAAAGUAAAUAUUAUUUUAUAUAUUUGCAAUAAUUAAUAUUAUUAAUUAAAGAAAUUUAGAAAUAGAAAUAUUAAUUUAAUAUUAACAUAAUUUGUGCCAGCAGUUGCGGUUAUACAAAUAAUAUAAAUAAAUUUUAUUAGUAAUAGUUAAAUGUUUAUUUUAAAAUAUAAAUAAAUUUAUUAAGUGAAAUUUUAAAUUUUCUUUAUUUUUAAAAAUAAAAAUUAUUGAAGCUAAGAAUUUUUAAUUAAAAACUAGGAUUAGAUACCCUAUUAUUUAAAAGGUAAAUAAAUUUAUUUGAGUAGUAUUAGUUAUAAUCUUGAAACUAAAAAAAUUUGGCGGUAUUUUAGUCUAUUCAGAGGAACUUGUUUUUUAAUCGAUAAUCCACGAUGUACCUUACUUAAAAUUGUUAAUCAAUCUAUAUAUCGUUGUUAUUAGAAUAUUUUAUAAGAAUAAUAAUUUUCUAUAAUUUAUAUUAAAAUUAAUAUCAAAUCAAGGUGUAGUUUAUUUUUAAGUAUAAAUGAGUUACAAUAAAAUAUAUUUAUGAAUUUAAAUAUGAAAAAUUUAAUGAAAUUGGAUUUGAUAGUAAAAUUAUAAAGAUUAAUAAUUUGAUUUUAGCUCUAAAAUAUGUACAUAUCGCCCGUCACUCUUGUUAAUUAAAAUAAGAUAAGUCGUAACAUAGUAGAUGUACUGGAAAGUGUAUCUAGAA